UUUGCCACUUCAUAAUGAACAAACUCCGAAAUAACGUUUGCAAAUCGUGCAAAAUUAUUAACAAAAUAAUGGUUAGAAAAAAAUUAAUAUUUGUGAUGAUAAUCCACAAGUCAGAAAGAAUCACUGGUCCAUAUUUCUUCAAAAAUGGAGCAGUCCAUAAUGUUACAGUCAAUGGGGAAUGCUUUAGAGCAAUGACUUUUUCGCAUCUGAAUUUGGUGAUGUUGAUGUGGAGGACCUUUGGUUUCAGCAAGAUGGCACUUCAUGCCAUACAGCCAACGAAACAAUUAAUUUUUGGAAGGAAACUUUUGGGGAGUCUCUAAGAUCGUGCAAUUCAACACCGAUGCACUAUUUUUUGUGGGGUUAUAGGAGGUCGCUUUUUGUCAGAUAAGCCCGUGAACAGUAACGCCUUGGAAGAAAAUAUACGGCGCUUUACCUGACAUAUGGCUCCGAUUGCUGCAAAAAGUCGUCGAAAAUUCGGCCUCUCCGCUGGAAUUUGUUCCAGCCAGCAGCGGUGGUCGCUAGCCCGAAAUCACUUUUAAAACAUAUUUUCAAACCCUUAUACUUAUAAUAAAGCUUAAUUCUAGUCGA
Long non-coding RNA from Bactrocera oleae (olive fruit fly), 588 nucleotides. RefSeq lists it as uncharacterized. Lineage: Eukaryota; Metazoa; Arthropoda; Insecta; Diptera; Tephritidae. The record is from RefSeq and is a predicted model, not a curated record.